Molecule: ribosomal RNA, 467 nt
Filed under: uncultured bacterium
Lineage: Bacteria
Description: partial 16S ribosomal RNA
Rfam family: Bacterial small subunit ribosomal RNA
Source: RNAcentral
GACGAACGCUGGCGGCGUGCUUAACACAUGCAAGUCGAACGAUGACGACCGAGCUUGCUCGGUCUGAUUAGUGGCGAACGGGUGAGUAACACGUGAGCAACCUGCCCUUCACUCUGGGAUAACCUCGGGAAAUCGGGGCUAAUACCGGAUAUGAGCUCCUGUCGCAUUGCGGGUGCUGGAAAGUUUUUCGGUGAAGGAUGGGCUCGCGGCCUAUCAGUUUGUUGGUGGGGUAGUGGCUCACCAAGGCGGUGACGGGUAGCCGGCCUGAGAGGGCGACCGGCCACACUGGGACUGAGACACGGCCCAGACUCCUACGGGAGGCAGCAGUGGGGAAUAUUGCAUAAUGGGCGAAAGCCUGAUGCAGCGACGCCGCGUGAGGGAUGACGGCCUUCGGGUUGUAAACCUCUUUCAGCAGGGAAGAAGCGAAAGUGACGGUACCGGCAGAAGAAGCGCCGGCUAACUACGUG